UGGAAGUGGCGGGGUGCUAUACAUGCAGUCGAGCGGACAGAUGGGAGCUUGCUCCCUGAUGUUAGCGGCGGACGGGUGAGUAACACGUGGGUAACCUGCCUGUAAGACUGGGAUAACUCCGGGAAACCGGGGCUAAUACCGGAUGGUUGUUUGAACCGCAUGGUUCAGACAUAAAAGGUGGCUUCGGCUACCACUUACAGAUGGACCCGCGGCGCAUUAGCUAGUUGGUGAGGUAACGGCUCACCAAGGCGACGAUGCGUAGCCGACCUGAGAGGGUGAUCGGCCACACUGGGACUGAGACACGGCCCAGACUCCUACGGGAGGCAGCAGUAGGGAAUCUUCCGCAAUGGACGAAAGUCUGACGGAGCAACGCCGCGUGAGUGAUGAAGGUUUUCGGAUCGUAAAGCUCUGUUGUUAGGGAAGAACAAGUGCCGUUCAAAUAGGGCGGCACCUUGACGGUACCUAACCAGAAAGCCACGGCUAACUACGUGCCAGCAGCCGCGGUAAUACGUAGGUGGCAAGCGUUGUCCGGAAUUAUUGGGCGUAAAGGGCUCGCAGGCGGUUUCUUAAGUCUGAUGUGAAAGCCCCCGGCUCAACCGGGGAGGGUCAUUGGAAACUGGGGAACUUGAGUGCAGAAGAGGAGAGUGGAAUUCCACGUGUAGCGGUGAAAUGCGUAGAGAUGUGGAGGAACACCAGUGGCGAAGGCAGACUCUCUGGUCUGUAACUGACGCUGAGGAGCAGAAAGCGUGGGGAGCGAACAGGAUUAGAUACCCUGGUAGUCCACGCCGUAAACGAUGAGUGCUAAGUGUUAGGGGGUUUCCGCCCCUUAGUGCUGCAGCUAACGCAUUAAGCACUCCGCCUGGGGAGUACGUUGCCGAAGAUUGAAUUACUAGAUAUUAACUGGAGGCCGCGCAAUCGGUUGCAUCAUGUCGUUAAUUCCAUACAGCUGAGAACGUAAACCGGGUGGGAAUUUCCUCUUACCAUUCCAU
This 989-nucleotide ribosomal RNA is filed under the name Bacillus velezensis. Its description in RNAcentral is "bacterial SSU rRNA". It matches the Rfam family "Bacterial small subunit ribosomal RNA", at positions 30 to 1004 of the family's 1533-position model. The record is from RNAcentral. Lineage: Bacteria; Bacillati; Bacillota; Bacilli; Caryophanales; Bacillaceae.